Molecule: long non-coding RNA, 841 nt
Organism: Herpailurus yagouaroundi (jaguarundi)
Lineage: Eukaryota; Metazoa; Chordata; Mammalia; Carnivora; Felidae
Exons: 2
Source: RefSeq, a predicted model, not a curated record
UCCUGCUCCUUUCCCAGGGUUCCCAAUCCUCUCCUCAGACAGGAGGGGCAGGUUGGGGCCCCUCCAGAAUCUGCCGGUCCACAGUCUGGACUGAACAGAAUUUAGUAUCUGACCUGCAGGGGCUGCGGGGGAGGAUGUGUCCCUGAUGAAUAUCACCAAGUGUUUUAGGAUCAUUGGGGCCUUUUGGGAGUCUCCCCCUUGGUCUGGGUCUCCCUUCAGGGAAAGAAACCUCGAAGAAAGAUUUCUUGCACAUGGGUACGUUUCACACGCAGCAACCGGCACCCCCACCCCGCCCCGUGCUGCAGAGCACACACAGCUCCUCUCACACACUCACCAUCCAGCUGCACACUGCGUCUCCAUGGCAACCAGUAGGCCUGGUCCACGGAUGUUAGAAAUAAGUGCCAGAGGAAGAGAAGAGAGAGAGGGAGAGACAGAGGAGAAACAUCAGAAAUAAAGAGACUCAGAAAGACAGCCUCCCAAGGAGGACCCCACUCUUUCCUUGCACCACCACCACCACCCCCCCACCCCCCCCCCCCGCCAGAGACUCUUGAAUGGACUCAAGGCCUGAGGAUGGAGGGGCUCAAGACGGGGACUAAGCAGUGGGCUGGGGGCUGUCUGGAAACAGGAGAGACCUCGCUGGAGUCUGUGGAGCUUAGCUUCUGAAGCUGGACUGUCUGGACUGCCUUGAACAAGUCACUUAACCUCUCUGAGCAUCAGUUUCUUAGCUAUGAAAUGGGGAUAAUAAAUCCUAAAUUUUUUGUGUGGAUUUAAGGCGAUGGUGCAUGUAACCAGCUUAGUCCAAUAAAUUGUAAGCGCUCAAUAAAUGCAACUUUUCUCAUCA